GCCUCUGCUGUUUCCUGCAGGAGGUUAGUCGGCUCCCAGCACCGUUCUCUGAGGAAACAUCUGAGAGCUUCAACGCCCUUGGCGGAGUCCAUUCUCCCAGACUUGAUGGUUAGAGCAUACAAGGCGUACAGACACACCAGGGUGCUGAGGUCCAAUACACCCGCGACAAACAGCAAUUUAUCCACCCCCUUGUGCAAAACCCGGAUCCGAUGCCUCCUCUGCCUAACUCCAGUCACCCAGAGCCUCGUCUCGUGGGUCUCCAGCCUCCUGGUCCAAUCGGCUGGGGCCGCCUCUCAUCUUCCAGGACCCGCCCUCUCCCGCCGGAAGCGCCCUCCUCCUGGCGGAAACAGCUUCUCCCCGUCCCGCCCCUCAGUCUGCUCUUCACACGGAUACCACGAAUGCCACGGUGGCCUCCUGAAGACGGAGUCUGGUCUCACAUUCCUCCAGCUUCCUAUGCAUAAACCCCAGCGAAGGGUGAGCGCACGGCAUGGCACCUGCAGCAUGGGGUUCACGUUCUGGAAGGUUCUGGCUGACUCCCACCCCGCCCUUCACUGGCCAAGUAAACUUGCAGAAGUUACUUAACCCUUGACCUAGAAGAGCCUCCUGUCACCUGAAAAGGGAAAGUCGGGAUUGUAAGGAAAGGAAUCUCAUAGGGCUUCUCUGAGGAGACAAAUCAUUGGAUUGGGCUUAGACGUUCCAUCCGUGGCAAGAUUUCCGGCUUUGCCCUUUGGAGCCUGAGGAGCAAGGGUAGAAUGAGGAUCGUGAGGUUCUUCAGAGGCAGUUACUCACGAGGUCACAGCGCAGAAACGGCAAGAAAUGUCAGGACAACUAUGGAUGUGAAGGAUGGGAGAGGGGCCUCCUUCCGCAUGAGGUCCCCAGAGUUCUAAAGGCUACUUCAGCAGGUUCAGAAUUCCAAGGAAACCUACUUUCAACAGUGUGAGACCUGUGCCUCAGUCAGCCGGGUGUGGAGUGGCCAGGUCGCACAUCAGCUGCAGGCACAGCCAGUUCAUGGGUAGACAGCCACAUCCUGCCCCAGGAGGAGGGCAGCCAGCAUGGGCGAUGCAAGCUCCCCUCGUCUGGAACCAGCACAACCUCAGGCACUCGAGCCUUGGCCCCUCACAAGCAACGUCCUCAAUGGGUGGCGUUCGUUCAUCUUGGAGGCAUAGCUGGGACCCCAGGGACAGGAGCUGCCCGGCUGGCUCCACCCCGGAACACAGGACCUGCCUCCAAGCUCCUUCGAGGUUGGGAUCUGUGAGCAAACAUAAAAACCGAUCAUCACAAUAAUUGCCACAUCACAGAAGACUGUUGCAUCCAUGAAUGCCUUUAAUCCCCAGUCCGCUGGCCACGAAGCGGAUUAGGAGAGAGAGGUUUAGUCCCAGACCUGCCUCAUUAAAAACAUCUCCUUUCUACCAUGAGGACUUUCACCUGUACAUGCAAGAGGUUAUUAUAUACAGAUUAAGAAUUAACACAGU
This 1472-nucleotide long non-coding RNA is filed under the name Homo sapiens (human). Its description in RNAcentral is "non-protein coding lnc-ACP1-9:1". Lineage: Eukaryota; Metazoa; Chordata; Mammalia; Primates; Hominidae. The record is from RNAcentral.